Molecule: long non-coding RNA, 1351 nt
Filed under: Cricetulus griseus (Chinese hamster)
Lineage: Eukaryota; Metazoa; Chordata; Mammalia; Rodentia; Cricetidae
Description: lncRNA (ENSCGRG00015037744.1)
Source: RNAcentral
CUGAAAGUAUAGGACCACCAAACCAGGCAACAAUAAAAAAAUCCUUUCUUGGCAACUGAGAAAAUGUUGCCAGAAGAUGGUGCAAGAGAGGCAGUGUCAUGGUUUUCGGGGCUGCACUGCCAUCGUGUGGUUAUAAGCGGAGAUACAGAGCGUCCUCCACCUCUUGGACACCUUCGGCCCGUUGAAUCUGCAACAGACACUGGGCAGUGGAAAACACGGGGAAGUCCUCAGGUGGACACUGAAUGUGAGCGAUAUUGUGGACCAGGCACCCAAUUAGUUUGAGGUGGAGUGGGGUGGGGGGCUCUGAGAGGACUUUCUAUACAAACUUAAAAGGUUUUAAUACACUCUGUAAGGGGUCAGAUUCCUGAGAUCUGUCCCUCUGCCUUCCCUGCCCUCAUGUCUUGACUUUCUGGAAACCACAAGACAGUAACGCCUCCAGGUGCAUCUACGUUGUUCCAUGUACCAUGAUUAAUUUCCAUAUCAAAGAGGUACAGUUUAUUCAGUCAAAAAUGGAAGAAUAACUGAAUCAUUGCCAGUUUUAGGUUAUCAGAACUAAAACCGGAGUAGGGGAUAUAGUUCACUUGGUAGAACGCUUGCCUAAAAUCCACAAAGCCUGACCUGGGUUCAGUUCCCAGCUCUGCAUAAAAUAAGAUGUGGUGGUAAGUGUCUGUAACUCCAGAACUUGGGAGACGGAGGCAGAAAGGCUAGAAGUUCAAAGUCAUCCUCAACUAUAUAGUGAGUUUGAGGCUGGCCUGAACCAUAUGAGACCUUAUCUCAAAAAUGAAAAUAAUUAGCUGGAGAGAUGCUCAGUAGUUAAAAGAGGACACUAUUCUUGCAGAGGAUUGAGUGUGGUGGAAUAUUGUUUUAAGGUGUGCGACUUCUGUUUAUGCUGCAUUUGUUUAACUUUGUGAAGCUGUGAUUCUUUGCCUGUCUAAAACACCUGAUGGUCCCAAUAAAGAGCUGAAUGGCAAGGACAGGCGGGGCUGGCAGGCAGAGAGUGUAAAAGAACAGAGAAAGAGGAGGAGCAAUGAGAGAACAAGGAGAGAGGUCAGGAGCCAGCUACUCAGCCACCCAGCCACACAGACAGCCAUAGAGUAAGAAGGAAAGUAAAAUAUACAGUAGUAAGAAAGGUAAGAGCCCAGAGGAAAAAGGUAGAUGGGUUAAUUUAAGAUAAGAAACAAGCUAAGCUAAGGCUGGGCAUUCAUAACUAAGAAUAAGCCUCCGAAUGAUUUAUUUGAUAGCUGGAUGGCAGGCCCCCCAAGAAGCCAGAAAAACCAAAAGAGUAAAACAUCACACAACACCUGAGUUUGAUUUCCAGCACCCACAUCAGGCAGCUCACAGUUGCCUGUAA